This 346-nucleotide ribosomal RNA is filed under the name uncultured bacterium. RNAcentral describes it as "partial 16S ribosomal RNA". It matches the Rfam family "Bacterial small subunit ribosomal RNA", at positions 338 to 681 of the family's 1533-position model. The record is from RNAcentral.
CCUACGGGAGGCAGCAGUGAGGAAUAUUGGUCAAUGGGCGCGAGCCUGAACCAGCCAAGUAGCGUGAAGGAUGACUGCCCUACGGGUUGUAAACUUCUUUUAUAAAGGAAUAAAGUGAGGCACGUGGGCCUUUUUGGAGGUACUUUAUGAAUAAGGAUCGGCUAACUCCGUGCCAGCAGCCGCGGUAAUACGGAGGAUCCGAGCGUUAUCCGGAUUUAUUGGGGUUAAAGGGAGCGUAGAGGGGUUGUUAAGUCAGUUGUGACAGUUUGCGGCUCACCCGUAAAAUUGCAAUUGAUACUGGCAGUCUUGAGUACAGUUGCGGUAGGCUGCAUUCGUUGUGUAGCGG